GUGGAUAUGGCUCAGUGGUGGCGUAUUUGACUACAGAUCAAGAAGUCCCUCGUUCAAACCCAGGUGCACCCU
This is a non-coding RNA of Pangasius djambal, 72 nucleotides long. The record is from the annotation of a GenBank genome assembly. NCBI's taxonomy places the organism in Eukaryota, Metazoa, Chordata, Actinopteri, Siluriformes, Pangasiidae.